GGGGAAUAUUGCACAAUGGGGGAAACCCUGAUGCAGCAACGCCGCGUGAGUGAUGACGGUCUUCGGAUUGUAAAGCUCUGUCUUCAGGGACGAUAAUGACGGUACCUGAGGAGGAAGCCACGGCUAACUACGUGCCAGCAGCCGCGGUAAUACGUAGGUGGCAAGCGUUGUCCGGAUUUACUGGGCGUAAAGGGAGCGUAGGUGGAUAUUUAAGUGGGAUGUGAAAUACUCGGGCUUAACCUGGGUGCUGCAUUCCAAACUGGAUAUCUAGAGUGCAGGAGAGGAAAGUAGAAUUCCUAGUGUUGCGGUGAAAUGCGUAGAGAUUAGGAAGAAUACCAGUGGCGAAGGCGACUUUCUGGACUGUAACUGACGCUGAGGCACGAAAGCGUGGGUAGCGAAC
This 400-nucleotide ribosomal RNA is filed under the name uncultured bacterium. RNAcentral describes it as "bacterial SSU rRNA". It matches the Rfam family "Bacterial small subunit ribosomal RNA", at positions 356 to 773 of the family's 1533-position model. The record is from RNAcentral.